This 484-nucleotide ribosomal RNA is filed under the name uncultured bacterium. RNAcentral's name for it is "partial 16S ribosomal RNA". It matches the Rfam family "Bacterial small subunit ribosomal RNA", at positions 28 to 523 of the family's 1533-position model. The record is from RNAcentral.
GACGAACGCUGGCGGCGUGCUUAACACAUGCAAGUCGAACGAUGAAACCGGAGCUUGCUCCGGUGGAUUAGUGGCGAACGGGUGAGUAACACGUGAGUAACCUGCCCUUGACUCUGGGAUAACUGCGGGAAACUGUACAUAAACCCGGAUACGACCCUCGGAGGCAUCUCCUGGGGGUGGAAAGAAUUUCGGUCAAGGAUGGACUCGCGGCGUAUCAGCUAGAUGGUGAGGUAACGGCUCACCAAGGCGACGACGGGUAGCCGGCUUGAGAGGGGGACCGGCCACACUGGGACUGAGACACGGCCCAGACUCCUACGGGAGGCAGCAGUGGGGAAUAUUGCACAAUGGGCGCAAGCCUGAUGCAGCAACGCCGCGUGAGGGAUGACGGCCUUCGGGUUGUAAACCUCUUUUAGCAGGGAAGAAGCGAAAGUGACGGUACCUGCAGAAAAAGCACCGGCUAACUACGAGCCAGCCGCCGCCGUAA